CCCCCUCCCACCGGUCAUUAACAUGUAAAAGUCUGUUAACGACUGUUCUCUGGUCCGUUUUUUCUCUGUUUUAAAAAGACCGAUAGAAAUGAUUACUGAUGAAUAAGCUUUUGUUUUUUUUUUUGUUUUUUUUUUUCAUGUGCGGUUUUGUUUUGCAUUUGCGUUUAUUUCUAGUUCAAAUAUUUAUUGUCACAUAAAGUCUUUUAACAAAAGUUUUUUUUCAUGUGCGUGUACAUGUAGUGUUUGUUUUAAUGUUGUUUUUUUGUUUGCGCGUAAGUGUUUUUUUUUUUUUAUUUUUCAUAUGCAUAUUGUAAUAUUUUUCAUGUGCGUGUAUUGUUUUUUUCACAAGCGAUACGCAAUAUCUUUCAUAUCUUUUUCAUGGCCAUGCUUAAGAUAUGAUAAGUUAACAAUGCGUCCACUUCUCAAUCGUCAGGGGCAAGAUAUUGUCCCAUGAGUCACAAUCAAACAGGCCAUGGAUGAUUUAUUACUGUCAGACUUGUGUGUUAAAACGUUCAUUUAAGCUUUAUUUUGCUGUAGUGAAGAUUAUUUCAAGUAAACUAUUUUUGAAUUAUCGAUAAAAAAGACAAAGGAGUCAAGAAAUUGUCAAUAGAUUGUUAAUAACAACUAAGUAUUUGGAUACGUUUUAGGAUUUGUUUUUACUCGAAGCAAACUUUUUUUUGUCUUUAACGAUGAAAACCAAUUAAAAAAAAAUAUAAAAUUGUAAAUAUACAAAAUUUGCAUUAUUCCUUAUUGUCAUGUAUCAUUACACCAGAACCGGAGUCUUGUCAGAUCCUUAAUCGUGGAUAUAGUACAAUAUAUGUAUUCUAAUGUUAUUGUUUUCUGCAUUUAGAGUAAUUUGGAGAAAACGUAACAUUGUGGUGUGGUGCAUCCUAGACAUUUGUAUUCAUUCAUAAUUAAUUCUUUAUAAUGAAAAACGCUACGUUCUUGUCUGAGAAGAAACGGUAUUUAAUGGUUGCAAUAUUUAAUUAUUAUUCGAAAACUGAAACCGAAUAAUGCAGUCGUUAUGGUUGGAUCACUACGAUCACUCCAUUAGACUGGCAGAGUGAAUAUAAGUGGGUGAGAGCUUGAAUAAUUCGAGUUAGUUUGUACUUUUAUAUAUAUUUUGCUGAUUGCAGUAUUGACAGAAUAAGCAACCAUAAGCAUGAAUAGAAAAUAAUAAGAAAUAUGACACGACCCAGUGCUUCAGGAGAACGGAUGUCAUUAAUUCAAAUGUUGUCUGCGAAGGAAGACGUUAUCUGUGUUUGCUGAAAGGCGUUUCGAUAUUUAAAAGAUUUUUACAUAACUGAGAAAAAGACAAGAGCGCCGGACAAAAAUAUCAAUAUACAAAAUUCCACAAAAGGAAUCCCUGUUUAAGUCAAACAAAUGAUAUAGAAAAAGGAAAAAUAUCAUGUAGACAACAAAAAAACCACGGACAUUCCUUUGAAGAGAUUUACUUUUGCUUGUAUAUUCAGCAAUAAACGGUACCGGUAGGUUUACAAGGCAGAUCGACCUGGACAAAGGGCGAGACAUAUGGAAUGUCACUGAAAAAAUAGAGUAUUUUAUAUAGAAGUAGUAUUAUGGUAGGCCUUUGACGGAAUAACAUAAUCUUAGAUCGUUCAAAACAUCUAACAAAGAAACGAUUAAAUUGCCAACAAUAUAACAUAAGGCAAAGGUAACCAU
This 1680-nucleotide long non-coding RNA is filed under the name Mytilus galloprovincialis (Mediterranean mussel). The record is from RNAcentral. Lineage: Eukaryota; Metazoa; Mollusca; Bivalvia; Mytilida; Mytilidae.